Molecule: long non-coding RNA, 2458 nt
Filed under: Cervus hanglu yarkandensis (Yarkand deer)
Lineage: Eukaryota; Metazoa; Chordata; Mammalia; Artiodactyla; Cervidae
Description: lncRNA (ENSCHYG00000019667.1)
Source: RNAcentral
AGAAUAUCAACAUUUCAAAUAUGGAUUUCUAUGCAGCUUUUUCGUUCAAGAAAGUUACAAAUUUUUUAUAAUGUCUUUAAAUCUAAAUCUACAGCUUAGAAAUGCCACAGAAGCCACGGAAGACAUACCCAUAUCCAAGAACCUGAUGAAGGUGGCAUUGCUAGCCAAAAAAAAAAUGGAGGAACAAACAAACAUCUCAAGUACUAGAAGUGGUCUAUUGAGGCUUUUUGCUGGAUUUGAUAGAAUGUUUUGUGCAAAGAUCACAUUCUUGAGGUUGUGGUCGUGUUGAAGGGGUCAGAACAGAGGACGAGGAAAGAGUCUGAACAAAGGAAGAUUUAAGUUGACUGGCAGGGAGAAAAAUCCCCACAGAGGAGUCUGUAAAUUCAAAAGCAGUGGUGGGAGCUCCCGCUGGAAUACUCGGAGAUGAACUGCACGGAAUAACAGAGGCCCUUCUGUGGGAAAGAGCCCAAGCUGGCAGUUGCUCAGACAAGUCCACCCACCAGGACCAGAGUCAAUGAUGGCUCUAGGGCUCUCUCCGUUUCUGUGGAAGAGUUCCCUGCCUACAGCCUCUCAGGAAGAUGGCCUGCAGGCCUCUAAGUCCUGGCUCAAGUGAUUCCCACCAUGCUGGAUUGCACCUGGAACUGAACAAGCAGGAGGAGCCUUGGAAAACAUCUUAUGAGCUCAUUGACUUUAUCCAUGAUCCGAAGACUCAGCUACUUAAGGUAACCACUGGAGAAGCUGGCGGUCAAGUCCAAGGAGAUGCCACAGAGAAACCACACUACAGUAUUCAUCCAGCCAACACAAGACCAUUAAUCAACCACAAAGACAGAAAGAUGAAUAAGGAGACUCGAGAAUUUGAAGAAGUUAACCCCAGGAAUCUUGGCCCUGUCAUGCAGUGACCCCUCACGUUAAUAUUGGACAGACCAUAUCAUUAUCUGAAGGAAGAUAAGCAAAGUAUGCAGGGCUCUGGCACAUUCGCAUUGAGCCACUUCAGGGAAUAAGCUCUUGAAGAAGGGUCUAUGAGUAACAACCUGGUAACACCUAACAUUUGGGGACAAUUAAACAAGCAUUGCUAUUCACAAUCAUUGUGGCACAAGACCAAGAAGAAAUCAAAAAUUUAUUCAUGUGUUUUUCUGUCUUAACCUUGUUUCUGACCUCGUCUUGUCUUUCCAACCUAUAAUUUUAAUUUGGUUCAGCUUUCCUCAGCCAUUUAGCUUGAAUUUUAUUUAAUCAUUAUAUAAAUAACCUUAAGUCCCACGGAGAGUCAGUAGAAAUCAUUAAAUAAUUAAAUACUUAUUAAGACAAUGACAGCAAGAAAUUUCUCUCUCCCUCCUUUCUCUCUAGCUCUCUUUCUCUCCUCUCUUUUCUUUAUACAAAGAUUCUUUGAGAAUGCAGUGAUCUCAGGCCUAAAAUAUUCAGCUCUGCCUUUUGUUCAGGACUCUUGGAAAGCUGGGGUGGUCUACAAUCUUAAUCUACAAUUAAGAUGUCAUCCCCGCUCCCUCCUCUUUUGCCCCAUGCUUUGCCUGUACAAAUGGAGGCUUUGGGAUUUUGCAGUGUGCUAACACUCUAAAACCCUAUUAAUACUGUUGCCUUUUUGGUUGACAGAUUUGUAGUUACGGUAACUAAUCUGAGCUAAAAGAUGUAGAGGUUUUUGCAAGUUCAAACAAAACCUAUUAUUAUUUUGAAAAAAACAAAAAACAAGCCACAGACUCAAUCUCCACACUUAAUUUCAAAGGACAACCAUCAGAACAAUAUUCUUUAUCCCAACGUGGGAAAUUAAAAAAAAAAAAAAAGUAAAGGAUUUUUCAAACUGCAAAACAGACAAAAGUUCCUCUACUUAAAAUUUGAGGUUAAUAAACUUCAGAAAUCUUGCUAAAAUAAUGAAUGAGACCGGUUUCCCAAGCACUUCCUGUUGUAGUUGAGGAAAGAAAAGGCUCCUUCCCCAGUCCUCCCCCAACCUGAAAGACAGUGGGUGCUACUAGGACUGCAUGCUGGUUGAGCAUACGCCUGGCUGGAAUUCCCAAAAAAAAGGUGCAGCCAGGGUGGGGCAGAAGCACAGGCCUCCAAAUUCACAGCUGCUAUCAGUUUCCCAAACUGUUUUUAGAAUCUCCAGGGUUGGGAGUGGGAUAGAUUAUGCUCUGCACAAUUUGGUUUGUGGAUCUGGGAAGGGAGCCAGAUAGAGUUCUCCCGUGAUUCUGGGGAUGAUGUGUGCUCUCCAGAGACACGUGAAGUUACAUGGGCCUUCGGAUAUCACUCGGUGAAUCUGUCCAUUUGUUUUCCAGAACAUGCAAUGGAGGCGCAAAAUGUAAAAUAAUAGUGUCCAAGGUCAUCACAUAGAUGUUCUCUUGACACAGCAGGGACUCAGACCCAGUGUCUUCUUCCAACUCAUUCAUGUCUAAUAAACCAAGUAGGUAGUAAUCAAAAUUGUCAGAUAUAAUUUGAAGAUAUAUAAAACACG